GUAAAUUAAAAUCAACACUUUGCAUUUCUUUCAGCUUUUGGAUUUAACUGUGGUUAAUCCUCAGGAGAGUCCCAAGUGCACACUGCCAUAGCAGAAGGAAAGGACCUUGCUGGUGCCAGUGGACUCUUCAUAAGACCAGAGAGAAAAUGAAACUGGACUCUACACAGGGCAGGCCAGCAGGUUCUUGUAAAGGUUCCAAAGUCACUAGAGGAAUUGAUGAAUAGAACAAUCUCAGCUGCUUCCUUGUGCAUCAUCACCUGGGAAGAGAUGCUUUGUGUUCCUUUGAAGAAUAUGUACGUGAUAGGAAGAGAGCCAUUCUCCGAGAGACAAGACAGGGUCACAUUCUGGCCUUUCUUUGCUUGAGAGGUGGAGAUCCAGAAUCUGAGUUGCAGGAGAGGGUCACGUUCUGGUUCAUCUCUACAUUCAAAGUCCCCUGAAGAGGUUUGAGCCUGGGAUUGGACAGCAUCUCUGGAAAGAAGAAACUGCUGAGGUCUUUUUCAUCUUCUGAUUGCAGGCAACACAGCUUUGUAUGUUUCAAAACC
This is a long non-coding RNA of Pezoporus occidentalis (night parrot), 542 nucleotides long. RefSeq lists it as uncharacterized. The record is from RefSeq and is a predicted model, not a curated record. The transcript has 4 exons. Lineage: Eukaryota; Metazoa; Chordata; Aves; Psittaciformes; Psittacidae.